UGCCAGCAGCCGCGGUAAUACGGAGGGGGUUAGCGUUGUUCGGAAUUACUGGGCGUAAAGCGCACGUAGGCGGACUAGAAAGUUAGUGGUGAAAUCCCGAGGCUCAACCUCGGAACUGCCUCUAAAACUCCUAGUCUAGAGUUCGAGAGAGGUGAGUGGAAUUCCAAGUGUAGAGGUGAAAUUCGUAGAUAUUUGGAGGAACACCAGUGGCGAAGGCGGCUCACUGGCUCGAUACUGACGCUGAGGUGCGAAAGUGUGGGGAGCAAACAGGAUUAGAU
Molecule: ribosomal RNA, 278 nt
Filed under: uncultured bacterium
Lineage: Bacteria
Description: partial 16S ribosomal RNA
Rfam family: Bacterial small subunit ribosomal RNA
Source: RNAcentral